This 112-nucleotide small RNA is filed under the name Mycoplasmoides pneumoniae M129. RNAcentral's name for it is "Mycoplasma pneumoniae M129 ncRNA". Lineage: Bacteria; Bacillati; Mycoplasmatota; Mycoplasmoidales; Mycoplasmoidaceae. The record is from RNAcentral.
AGAUUACUUUAACACCGUUCCAGUCUUGCUUUAAAAGUGAUUUGAAAAAGCGAUCGAGAAAGGGCUGGGAUUGGUAACAAGGAACCAGAAUGCUAAUUAGCUUGUUCAUUAA